Non-coding RNA from Aegilops tauschii subsp. strangulata, 3057 nucleotides. The record is from RefSeq and is a predicted model, not a curated record. NCBI's taxonomy places the organism in Eukaryota, Viridiplantae, Streptophyta, Magnoliopsida, Poales, Poaceae.
AAAAUAUAUUUAUAAAACACCUAAUAGUUUUAAAUAUGUUGCUUACCAUUCUGAAAAUAUCAGUGAAAAUUUAGUAAAAUUUUCAUGAAUUUAUAAUAUGUUCUUUCACCCAAAUGUUCGCAUAACAUAUGGUAAGUAUUCCAUACCAUUCAAAAACACACUCAAUGUCUAUUUUAUAUUUUUAACAUUUUUUGAAGAAAUGUCCAAAGAUGCUUUUGAAAAAUGAUCAUCAUGUACUUUAAAAAUUGAAUGUGCAUAAAAGUCUGUUAUAUGUGUAUACUAAAAAUGUACAACGUGUAUUGAAAAAAAACAUUGAUGAAAUGUAAUGAUAAAAACACAUAAACACUAAGGGCAAGGAACCGAUGGACUGCUAAAGGCUGGCAGAGAGCUCAGGCGGGCCCGCCGUGUGGCCCGGUUGGAAUGGAGCACUACGCCAAAAGUUGAAGUCGGAUUUCUCAAAAAGAAAAAAGGAAGCCGGAGACUUCGCAGCGACCGGCCGGCGCCGGCCAUGGAGAUGGAGCCGACCGGCCCGAGUACCAAGAGGAUGAGACCCGCGCCACCCGACAUCCACCAAUCGACGCCAGGUCCAGCGGAAACGACCGACCCGGAAGCCACGGCCGCGGGGAGAACCCAACACCCGCCGCCGGGAGCCGGGAGAGAUGGCGGCGAGGGAUCGCCGGACCGCAUCAGCGAUCUUCCCGACGCGGUCCUCGUCGAGAUAAUCUUCCUCCUCCCCACCAAGGAGGGCGCCCGCACCCAAGCCCUCGCGUCCCGGUGGCGCCACCUCUGGCGCGCCGCCCCUCUCAACCUCGACUGCCUUGGCCUCCCCGGCAACCUCCCCGGCGCCAUACUCUCCGCCCACGGGGGCCCCGUCCACCGCCUCUGCCUCCCGUCGCUCCCCCUCCCUGGACAGGCUCCAGGAGCUCGAGUUCUACCUGGAGCUGCCAAUAACAUACAGAUUUUCGUUCUCAAGGUUACAGCUGCUGCAACCACCAACGGCGUCCAUCUUCAGGUUCUCGUGCACUCUCCGCGUCGCCACCGUCAGCCAGUGCCAUCUCCCGGACAAUACUGUGGAGACGCUUCAGUUUCCCCUGCUCAAGAAGCUUGCGCUGGUGGAGGUCAAAAUCUCGGAGGGCUCGCUGCAGAGCAUCAUCGCCUCCGGCUGUUCUGCCCUGGAAAGCUUGUUGCUCAGGACUAGUUUUGACAUCCGUGGUCUCAGGAUCGACUCACCUAUCCUUAAAAGUAUAGGCGUUCAUUCUAGGUUUGUAGAACUCAUCAUUGAGGAUGCCCCUUCACUUGAAAGGUUGCUUUAUCUGAGAAUGGAUAUGAGAAUGCGGGUGUCAGUAAUCUCCGCACCUAGACUGGCGACCUUGGGUUACAUUUCUCAGGAUUCACAGGACUCCAAAAUCAUGUUUGGCUCCACUGUUAUUCAGAGAUUGCGCGUUGUUAGCCUGACAACGGUGGUGCCUACUAUCAAGAUCUUAGCUGUGAAUAUGAAUUCUAAUCUGGAUAUGGUUAUUGAGUUGAUGAAAUGCUUUGUAUGCUUGGAGAAAUUGUAUAUGAAGAUUCAGACAGAUUCACCAACAGGAACAAAUUUCUGGCGUCAUAAACACCGGAAUUUUCUCACAUCUCAGAACAUUCGUUUGAAGACCUUAGUGUUGAGACAUUACCGAGGCAUCCAGGCACAAGUUAACUUUGUCACAUUCUUUAUACUGAAUGCGAAACUGCUAGAGUCCAUCCGACUUGAGGUUGAUUCCAGGGAUUACAAUGACGGAUUUUUCGCAGAACAAUGUAGGAUGCUUCAGAUGGAGAAAAGGGUUUCUAGAGGUGCUCAGCUCUGUGUUACAACAGGUUCUCGCAAUGAUGUUUCGAGCACCGUUGACCUCAAUGAUUUGGAUUUGGCUGAUCCGUUCGCAUGUAGAUGUUGAGAGGGGGGCCUGGCUCCUGGUUGAGUUAUUCUUGCGUAUCUCAUUCUGUGUUUUUGCCCAAGCUUGGACCAAACGACGAUGGCCAGAGUCAGCUAUAUUGUGAAGAUAUCAUCUUGGGGUGCUCGUUUUGAUUGUCCACUGGUACACCUCCCAGACGGUUCCAUUUGCAGUGAAGAUUGUACAGUGUCUUCUCAACGUCUAUUGCGAGUUAGCAUCGAGUUGCAUUCUUAUAUGCAAGAAGAAGACUCUGAAAGUACCUAUCUGAGUUUGCAUAAAGGAAAAUUUCUGUUGUUCUUUCCACUGUCUGACUAGGGUGUGUUGACCCGUGUUGUUCGAUUGACAAGAGCAUAGCUUCAGAUGGAGAAGAGGGUUUCUAGAAGUGCUCCCCUUUGUUUCAGAGCAGAUUGUCACCAUGAUGUUUCGAGUAUCGUUGAUCUCAGUGAUUUGGAUUUUUGCGAUCCCUUCACAUGUAGAUGAUGAAAGUCGGUCUGGCCCUUUUUGGAGUUAUUCUUGCAUAUCUCACUCUGUUUUGGUCCAAACUUAGCUAGUCUUUCUAACCUUGUUUUGUCCCUGAACUUUGUGUUAUUUAAACACUAAAAGUAAUCAGGACCAAACAACAAUGGCUGGAGUCAGCUAUAUUUUCUGGGGACGCUCAUUUUGAUUGUUCACUGGAACACCGCUCAAAUUAUUCCAUUUGCAGUGAAGAUUGUAGUGUCUUCUCAAUGUCUAUUGGGAAGCACUGAGGUGUUACUGAAUUUACCCAGAUUGUAUCCAUCUGAGUUUGCAUAGAGGAAAACUUCUCUUGCUCUUUCCACCAUCUGGGUUCUGCUGCUAAAGCUGGGAGUGUUUUGGUAAUUAAUUUUCAAUCGCCCACAACUUCAGAUUCGAUGACUAGGGUGUUUUGAACCAUGUCCUUUGAACUAGGUUCGGUAAUUGUGGAGAUAGUUAUUCUUAACUAUCUCAUUUCGUGUUUUGCCCAAAGUAACUUGAUUAGCUCUCGUGUCUGUACUGUUGCUAAGUUUGCACCAUCACAAACAAUAGUGUGAUGUUAAAACAGGCUACCUGCAAAGCCAUCAUCCAUGCCUGGUGAUGUCAGUUAUAUUCAGAUUGCGGCGCACAUUUUGAUUUU